RNAcentral lists this ribosomal RNA (473 nucleotides) under Lactococcus lactis. RNAcentral's name for it is "bacterial SSU rRNA". It matches the Rfam family "Bacterial small subunit ribosomal RNA", at positions 28 to 484 of the family's 1533-position model. The record is from RNAcentral. Lineage: Bacteria; Bacillati; Bacillota; Bacilli; Lactobacillales; Streptococcaceae.
GACGAACGCUGGCGGCGUGCCUAAUACAUGCAAGUUGAGCGCUGAAGGUUGGUACUUGUACCAACUGGAUGAGCAGCGAACGGGUGAGUAACGCGUGGGGAAUCUACCUUUGAGCGGGGGACAACAUUUGGAAACGAAUGCUAAUACCGCAUAAAAACUUUAAACACAAGUUUUAAGUUUGAAAGAUGCAGUUGCAUCACUCAAAGAUGAUCCCGCGUUGUAUUAGCUAGUUGGUGAGGUAAAGGCUCACCAAGGCGAUGAUACAUAGCCGACCUGAGAGGGUGAUCGGCCACAUUGGGACUGAGACACGGCCCAAACUCCUACGGGAGGCAGCAGUAGGGAAUCUUCGGCAAUGGACGAAAGUCUGACCGAGCAACGCCGCGUGAGUGAAGAAGGUUUUCGGAUCGUAAAACUCUGUUGGUAGAGAAGAACGUUGGUGAGAGUGGAAAGCUCAUCAAGUGACGUAACUACCC